GAUGAACGCUAGCGGCAGGCCUAAUACAUGCAGGUCGGACGGGAUUCAGGAGCUUGCUUCUGAUGAGAGUGGCGCACGGGUGCGUAACACGUAUGUAACCUACCUUUAUCAGGGGGAUAGCCUCUCGAAAGAGAGAUUAAGACCGCAUAAAAUCACAGCACAGCAUUGUGUAAUGAUCAAAUAUUUAUGGGAUAAAGAUGGGCAUGCGGAACAUUAGCUAGAUGGCGGGGUAACGGCCCACCAUGGCGACGAUGUUUAGGGGAUCUGAGAGGAUGGCCCCCCACACUGGUACUGAGACACGGACCAGACUCCUACGGGAGGCAGCAGUAAGGAAUAUUGGUCAAUGGGCGGAAGCCUGAACCAGCCAUGCCGCGUGCAGGAAGACGGCCCUACGGGUUGUAAACUGCUUUUAUACGGGAAUAAACCCAGAUACGUGUAUCUGGCUGAAUGUACUGUAAGAAUAAGGAUCGGCUAACUCCGUG
This 482-nucleotide ribosomal RNA is filed under the name uncultured bacterium. RNAcentral describes it as "partial 16S ribosomal RNA". It matches the Rfam family "Bacterial small subunit ribosomal RNA", at positions 28 to 507 of the family's 1533-position model. The record is from RNAcentral.